Molecule: ribosomal RNA, 451 nt
Filed under: uncultured bacterium
Lineage: Bacteria
Description: partial 16S ribosomal RNA
Rfam family: Bacterial small subunit ribosomal RNA
Source: RNAcentral
AGCGAACGCUGGCGGCAGGCUCAACACAUGCAAGUCGAGCGGGCAUAGCAAUAUGUCAGCGGCAGACGGGUGAGUAACGCGUGGGAACGUACCUUUUGGUUCGGAACAACACAGGGAAACUUGUGCUAAUACCGGAUAAGCCCUUACGGGGAAAGAUUUAUCGCCGAAAGAUCGGCCCGCGUCUGAUUAGCUAGUUGGUGAGGUAAUGGCUCACCAAGGCGACGAUCAGUAGCUGGUCUGAGAGGAUGAUCAGCCACAUUGGGACUGAGACACGGCCCAAACUCCUACGGGAGGCGGCAGUGGGGAAUAUUGGACAAUGGGCGCAAGCCUGAUCCAGCCAUGCCGCGUGAGUGAUGAAGGCCCUAGGGUUGUAAAGCUCUUUUGUGCGGGAAGAUAAUGACGGUACCGCAAGAAUAAGCCCCGGCUAACUUCGUGCCAGCAGCCGCAGUAA